Molecule: transfer RNA, 66 nt
Filed under: Novacerus sp. FZ-2019
Lineage: Eukaryota; Metazoa; Arthropoda; Collembola; Entomobryomorpha; Tomoceridae
Description: tRNA-Arg
Source: RNAcentral
AUAGAAGAAAUAAAUAUAAUUAUAUUCAGUUUCGGCCUGAAAUUAGGGAUUUAAGCCCCUUCCUUG